RNAcentral lists this long non-coding RNA (1549 nucleotides) under Carassius auratus (goldfish). RNAcentral describes it as "lncRNA (ENSCARG00000053472.1)". Lineage: Eukaryota; Metazoa; Chordata; Actinopteri; Cypriniformes; Cyprinidae. The record is from RNAcentral.
GAUAAAGGGUAAAUGUUGCCGGAUUUACUGCUAAAGUUCUGAUAGCCCUGCUUUAUCACCUUUUGUACAGGACUCUUCAUAAGACUGAUUGAUGAUGACUACCUUGUUCUUAUCAAAAUUUAUUUUCCUUAAGACUCCUCUUAGGAAGUAACUCUAGAUGCUCUGUAAUACAAUAGAGAUUUCCUGCUGUCUUUGUCCAGGGGAUUGUGGUAUGCCAGCGGAGGGCACGGUGUGAACGGAGAGGGCAGGGGAACAUGAAUAGGUCUACUCUGAUGGGACUGGCACUCUCUGGCUCUGCAGUGGAAUAAAAGUGACAGUGAGGAUUAGAGGAGAGUUCUUCAGCUUGCAGGAUAAGCUGAUCUUCCAUACUUCAGUGACAGAAAAGCCUUAAGUGGUGUUUGUGUGGAAGAAGUACAAUGAGACGUGCUGGUGUAAAUGUGUCUGGCUCUGUGUGCUCUACACCAGCCCUUAAGCUGGGGAAGAAAGUUCCUUCAAAAGCCUGUUCCUGGCUCUCAAGUGGCCCAGCCUGUGACCUGGGGUUAUUGUUCAAGUUCAUCGGUGUCCAGACAAGCCAGUCUGGGGAUUGACACAUCAGAUGAAGAUAUGAAGUGGUGGGUGUGCAUGGAGGCAGGCCAGGCGCCCAGCGAGUCCCUGCGCUUCUCACUUGGUUAACACCUCACACAGAGCACAGAGCCAGGAAUACACUGCCUCUCUCGCUCUGUGACUAAAACAGUUAAUUUGGACCUGCAGGGUCUUCUGCUCCUCAGAGCCUCCACUGAAGGAGGUGGGAGAUAUUCUUAACUAAUGUCGGAAAAACAAGAAUGAUUAUCGUACAAUGUUUCACCAAUUUUCUGUGUGUGUUUCUGCAAUGCGUUUUUCUCAGUCCAUUUUCUUAUUGGCAAAUGCACUUUUAUGUUGCAAAGAUCGUUUUUUAUUAAACUAAGAGAUUUUAGCAUUAUUUUUGCCAUAUGAAGGUUACAUUAAGUCUUGGAAAUGCUUUAUCAUGCCUUCAUGAUUUUUUCCCUCUACUUUACAAAUGAAUUGUAUGUAUAGUUUUUUUUUUUUUGUUGUUGUUGUUGUUUGUUUUACUUAUUGAUUGAUUCCAGUUUUUAUACAAAUUAUGACUCACAGUACAUGGUUCCUGACGAGACAAAGGUUUCAGUCAAUAAUAAAAAAAAAAAAUAAUAAUAAUAAAAAUGUUGUGGUAAAUAUUAAUAGUUAAAUUAUUAGUUUAAUUUAAUUGAUUUCAUCUAAGCAAUCUGUAAAUGUAAAGUUACAAGUUUAUUUAUGAAAAAAGUUGAAGCAUUUUUUAGAGUUAUAUUCAUAUUUGAAUUACAGUUUCAAUAGCAAUAUUUCAAACCUGGCAUUUUAUUACUUGUCUCUUAAAUAUUAUUUUGUGUAUUUAAGAUGCAUAAAAUUCUUGUUGUGUUUUUAAAUGAUUUGUGUGUGUGUGUGUGUGAUAACCUGGUGUGAUAACCUCACAAAUGAUUGAGGUUGAGAAACUCAACAGUAGCGUGUAUUUACAUGCAAGGAAUGUGACAUUGUAUUA